This 646-nucleotide unclassified non-coding RNA is filed under the name Hevea brasiliensis (rubber tree). The record is from RNAcentral. Lineage: Eukaryota; Viridiplantae; Streptophyta; Magnoliopsida; Malpighiales; Euphorbiaceae.
CACGAAAUUUCGUUGGCGGCUUCCUCGCCUGGCUAUUGUCUGAAUCUUCGUUGCUACACUUGAGAGCGUGGAAUUUGAGGAAAUCAUGGAAGCUCCUAUGAGCCAACGUGGAAUUCAGCAUUUGCUGUCUGCAGAGCAAGAAGCUCAACACAUUGUCAAUGAUGCUAGAAAUGCAAAAAUGGCCAGACUAAAACAAGCCAAAGAAGAAGCUGAUAGAACGAUUGCUGAAUAUCAAGUCCAAGUGGAGCAUGAAUUUCAGAGGAAAGUAGAAGGGACUAGUGGAGAUUCAAGUUCUAACGUUCAGCGGCUUGAAAAAGAGACAGAGGCAAGAAUUAGUCACUUGAAGCAUGAGUCUGCUAGAAUAUCUCAUGACAUUAUCAACAUGCUCCUGAAGCAUGUCACAACUGUGAAAAACUAAGCCUGUCGGUGGCUUGGUAGCAAGGUGGACUUGCAAGUGCUCAAAUAAUCUGUUUAUUUUAGCUUGUUUCUCACCAUACCUUGGACUUCUAUGCUUUACAAGCUCACUGUGUCCUUUGUACUAGGGAAUAAUGAUAAUAGAAAUUGUGGCCGUCUCUUGUUGGUCCAAUUGAUUUAUCGAGACUUUCUUCUUUGGGUCCAAUUGUUAUUUAAGUUGUUCUUUGGCUGG